AUAAAGAAAAACCAUUACAGUUACAGAUUUCAAAAGUAAAAACAUAACAACAUUGGAUCCCUUUUCCACCCGUUGUUUCCUCACAAAAUACAUAUUGUUACUCUCAAUCCAUCCAUCAAACUUUAUACUAUUUUUAAAAAUAAAUUAACCUCGUGAUAAUUUUGUCCAUUUUCCACAUUUGGAAACAACUUUCUGUUUUUAUGUUACUACACUACUAUAUAUUAUGUACUUUUUCAUCCGUGUUAAAGUAACCACCAUUCCAUCAUGAUAUCCUCAUUAUCACCAUAUCCAUAUCCAAUGUAACCGUAACCAUGAAAAAUAUGACACACCAAAAAAAAAGGAAACCCAACCUGUUGUAACCAAAUUUUUUUUUUUUUUUUUUUUUUUUUACACUUUUAACCACAUUUACCAACCUUAUACUCUCUCUCUCUAUCUCUCACACACAAGUAACCAUGUAACCAACCCUAAUAAUCAAUACAAAUGUAACCCUCAUUAAAAAU
Non-coding RNA from Schizosaccharomyces pombe (fission yeast), 500 nucleotides. NCBI's taxonomy places the organism in Eukaryota, Fungi, Ascomycota, Schizosaccharomycetes, Schizosaccharomycetales, Schizosaccharomycetaceae. The record is from the annotation of a GenBank genome assembly.